UACGUAGGGUGCAAGCGUUGUCCGGAAUUAUCGGGCGUAAAGGGCUCGUAGGCGGUUUGUCGCGUCGGGAGUGAAAUCCACUGGCUUAACUGGUGGCUUGCUUUCGAUACGGGCAGACUGGAGGUAUGCAGGGGAGAACGGAAUUCCUGGUGUAGCGGUGAAAUGCGCAGAUAUCAGGAGGAACACCGGUGGCGAAGGCGGUUCUCUGGGCAUGUCCUGACGCUGAGGAGCGAAAGUGUGGGGAGCGAACAGG
RNAcentral lists this ribosomal RNA (253 nucleotides) under uncultured bacterium. Its description in RNAcentral is "partial 16S ribosomal RNA". It matches the Rfam family "Bacterial small subunit ribosomal RNA", at positions 524 to 776 of the family's 1533-position model. The record is from RNAcentral.